RNAcentral lists this ribosomal RNA (371 nucleotides) under uncultured bacterium. RNAcentral describes it as "bacterial SSU rRNA". It matches the Rfam family "Bacterial small subunit ribosomal RNA", at positions 29 to 396 of the family's 1533-position model. The record is from RNAcentral.
AUUGAACGCUGGCGGAAUGCUUUACACAUGCAAGUCGAGCGGCAGCGCGGGGGCAACCCUGGCGGCGAGCGGCGAACGGGUGAGUAACACAUCGGAACGUACCCAGUGGUGGGGGAUAGCCCGGCGAAAGCCGGAUUAAUACCGCAUACGACCUGAGGGGGAAAGUGGGGGGACCGCAAGGCCUCACGCCGCUGGAGCGGCCGAUGUUCGAUUAGCUAGUUGGUGGGGUAAAAGGCCUACCAAGGCGACGAUCGAUAGCUGGUCUGAGAGGACGACCAGCCACACUGGAACUGAGACACGGUCCAGACUCCUAUGGGAGGCAGCAGUGGGGAAUUUUGGGACAAAUGGGGGGCAACCCUGAUCCAGCCAUG